UUUCUAAGCUUGGUAUAUAGAUAUGUGAUCACCAUUGUAUCCACCUGUUCACUAAUUUGGCCUUUCAUUACUACUCUUUUGUGUUCUUAAAAAAGAAGAGAAAAUACCUGUGAAAAUUUUGGAAGACGAGACCUGAGAACUUGGGGUUUCCAUAGAUUUUGCCUUACACUUCUGUUGCAGCUUUUGUACGCAAAAUCUUUAUUUCUGUUGUUGUACAAUCUUUCACUUAGUAGGUAAUGUUUCCAUUAUCAAAUUUGUAACUUUUGUACACAAACUCCUUACUUUCACUAUUGUACAGUGUUUCAACAGAAGAAUGAGUUCCAAUCAAUGCAACAUGCUGAAAUGAGACGGAAUCAGAAUCUGUUCAGAAUUCAAGAGAAAAAAGUGGUUUCCCGCACUGAUCAUACAAUCUCUGGGAAAGUUCACAUUUUAUCCUGUACUGAAAAAUGAAACAUCAUGCCCUCUCUUCCUGCACCAUCCACAUUCCAUAUUAAAGAAGGAAACAAGAAGCAAAAAAAAAAGAUCUACUUCUUCCAACGGUCCAAUAGAUAUUUAGAAGACACAACUGGCUUACAUCAGGCAUUUGAAGACUCAGUAUGUUCUGGUUUGGCUCCAUAACCUCGAUUUUGGACUUAUUGUUUACACAGUUGAAAAAAUCUGUGAUAAUUUUGAGGAAAAUCCUUUUUAUAGCAGGUUCAGGUGCUCAGUCUCAGCAGCGACAGUGAUCUUCGAGUACCUCCAUCUACAUUCGUUCAGUUGAAAAUGCCUCCUCGUAGUGCUCGCAGAAACAACGAACGACCUCAACCCGUUGAUUCUUUAAAUGAGACAGUGACUUAUACCAAAUUUUAGGCAGCUUUUCAGGCGCUUGCCCAGGCAGUUACCGCCAAUGCUCAGGACAAUGUUCAGGAUGUUGUUCUACCUUCGUAAGAAGGUAAUUCUACAACAGCUCAAGUUUGGGAUUUUAUGCAGAUAAAUCCGCCAGAGUUUUAUGGGUCAAGGGCAGGUGAAGACCCCCUGUAUCUUGAUGAGGUGAAAAAGAUCACCUAAAUUAUGCAUGUAACAGAGGAAGAAAGUAUGGAGCUAGCUUCCUAUCGCUUGAAAGAUGUUGCUUAUGAUUAGGUGGAGCUGUGGAGGAAGAGUAAAGGGGAGGAUGCCGCUCCCAUGACUUGGCAGUUGUUCCAGGAUGUGUUCUUAGACUGAUUCUUUCCCCCGGAGCUGAGGGAAGCAAAACUAAAAGAAUUUAUGAACUUGAGACAAGGCUCUAUAACAGUUAAGAAGUAUUGUCUUAAAUUCAACCAGUUGUCUAAGUAUGCUCCCGGUAUGAUGGCUGAUUCCAGGACCAGUAUGAGUAAGUUUUUGACUGGCGCAUCGAGUUAUGUUGUGAAAGAGUGUAGGUCCUCUAUGCUCAAUAGGGACAUGGAUCUUUCUAGAUUAAAGAUACCUGCUCAGUAGAUUGAAGCAGACAAGGUGAAAGAGAGGGAAAGAGUAAGAGGGAAUAAGAGAGUCAGAUCAGAGAAGCAGGGGUAUAGUUAGAGUAGAUUUUCUGCAAGGAUCCUCCCUCAGUUUCAGAGCCGUUCUUUUGUGCCAGCACUGUCAUCAGCUAGUGCUCCCACAUCCAGAGUCAGGCAGGAGCAGGGUAAUAGACCUACUGUGUCCAGAUCUCAGGAUAGUGUGAGUAACAGACCUCGUUCUCCCCCAUGUCCAAAGUACAGUAGGGACCAUCCCGGUGAGUGCUUAGUCGAUCAGAGGGGUUGCUUUGGUUACGGUAAGUUGGGCUACAAAUUUAGGGAUUGCCCAUAUACUAGACAAGGGAGCCGUGAUGUUCGUCCCCAGAGUCAGGAUAUUAGUACUCCAGCCCCUUUGGUUUGUCCUACUCCUCUUCAGGGUGCCUCAUCUAGUACUGCCGGUGGUCAGCGCCAAAAUUGCUUUUAUGCUAUACCACCCCACCAGGAGUAGGAGGAUUCACCAGAUGUUGUUACUUGUACGUUCUAUGUAUUUUAUUUUGAUAUGUAUGUGUUGAUGGACCCUGGGUCAAGUCUUUCUUAUGUGACUUCGUUAGUGGCUGUGAAUUUUGAGAUCAAUUCUGAAAAGAUUCCUGAGCCUUUUAUAGUUUCUACUCCUAUAGGUGAACCUGUUAUUGCUAAGCAAGUUUAUAAGAAGUGUCCUAUCACUGUCCUUCACACAGUAACAUUUGCAGAUUUGAUUGAGCUAGACAUGGUUGAUUUUGGGUAUGGAUUGGCUUCACUCUUGUUAUGCGUCUAUAGACUGUCGUAGCAGUGUAGUCAAGUUUCAGUUUCCCAAUAAAUCAGCCUUUGAGUGGUCCGAAAGUUCUGUAUCUCCAAGGAGUCAUUUCAUAGCCUAUCUUAAAGCUAGGAAAUUGAUAUCCAAGGGUUGCAUCUAUCAUUUGGUUGGAGUUAAAGAUACUAAGUUUGAGACUCCGACCAUUCAGUUGAUCAACAUUGUUAAUGAGUUUUGCGAUGUUUUUCCAGAAGAUCUCCCAGGGGUACCUCCCGAUAGAGAGAUAGAGUUUAGAAUUGAUCUUCUCCCCGACAUGCAGCCUAUUCCUAUUACUCUAUCGUAUGGCCCCCGCAGAACUUAAGGAGUUGAAAGAGCAACUCAAAGAUCUUCUAGAUAAGGGUUUCAUAAGGCCUAGCAUAUCUCCUUGGGGUGCACCCAUUCUG
Capsicum annuum is the source of this 2681-nucleotide long non-coding RNA. RefSeq lists it as uncharacterized. The transcript has 8 exons. The record is from RefSeq and is a predicted model, not a curated record. NCBI's taxonomy places the organism in Eukaryota, Viridiplantae, Streptophyta, Magnoliopsida, Solanales, Solanaceae.